Gossypium arboreum is the source of this 308-nucleotide long non-coding RNA. RefSeq lists it as uncharacterized. Lineage: Eukaryota; Viridiplantae; Streptophyta; Magnoliopsida; Malvales; Malvaceae. The record is from RefSeq and is a predicted model, not a curated record. The transcript has 2 exons.
AGAAUGAAAGCAAACGAAACAGAGAAGAAACAGGGGAGAAAGAAAGAAAGAAAAAGAAAAAGGAAAAUUUGGGUUUCAAGGCUCAAAGUUUAAUUUGGUUUAGUAAAGAUAGAACGUUGAAUCAGCAUCCUAGUUCGAUCCCGAAUUCAUUAAGGUAAAGUGUGUUAAUUAUUGGUAAUGGCAUGUACCUAGGACGUUUUAUGAGAGUCAUUUAGGUUGUAGAUAUACUCAUGAAAUGAGUAAAUUAUGGUUGGCAACGGUAUGUAGUAUGAAUUUGAAAUUUACUAAAAAUUUGUAGUGAUUCUAAA